GAUGAACGCUGGCGGCGUGCCUAAUACAUGCAAGUCGAGCGAACAGACGAGGAGCUUGCUCCUCUGACGUUAUCGUCGGACGGGGGAGUAACACGUGGAUAACCUACCUAUAAGACUGGGAUAACUUCGUGAAACCGGAGCUAAUACCGGAUAAUAUAUUUAACCGCAUGGUUCAAUAGUGAAAGACGGUUUUGCUGUCACUUAUAGAUGGAUCCGCGCCGCAUUAGCUAGUUGGUAAGGUAACGGCUUACCAAGGCAACGAUGCGUAGCCGACCUGGAAGGGUGACCGGCCAAACUGGAACUGAGACACGCUCCAGACUCCUACGGGAGGCACCAGUAGGGAACCUUCCGCAAUGGGCGAAAGCCUGACGGAGCACCGCCGCGUGAGUGAUGCAGGUCUUCGGAUCGUAAACCUCUGUUAUUAGGGCAGAACAAAUGUGUAAGUAACUAUGCACGUAUUGACGGUACCUAAUCAGAAAGCCACGGCUAACUACGUG
Molecule: ribosomal RNA, 497 nt
Filed under: uncultured bacterium
Lineage: Bacteria
Description: partial 16S ribosomal RNA
Rfam family: Bacterial small subunit ribosomal RNA
Source: RNAcentral